RNAcentral lists this non-coding RNA (107 nucleotides) under Hathewaya proteolytica. RNAcentral's name for it is "Clostridium proteolyticum TPP sequence". It matches the Rfam family "TPP riboswitch aptamer (THI element)". Rfam says of the family: Vitamin B(1) in its active form thiamin pyrophosphate (TPP) is an essential coenzyme that is synthesised by coupling of pyrimidine and thiazole moieties in bacteria. Lineage: Bacteria; Bacillati; Bacillota; Clostridia; Eubacteriales; Clostridiaceae. RNAcentral also lists the same sequence under 1 other name. The record is from RNAcentral.
UACAAAUAAAUGGGGAGCUUGUGUGUCAGGCUGAGAGGAAGUAAAUAACUUCGACCCUUAUACCUGAUUUGGGUAAUGCCAACGUAGGAAUAAGAGAAGAUUUUGAG